Molecule: long non-coding RNA, 584 nt
Filed under: Ananas comosus (pineapple)
Lineage: Eukaryota; Viridiplantae; Streptophyta; Magnoliopsida; Poales; Bromeliaceae
Description: long non-coding RNA (ACOM_LNC022923)
Source: RNAcentral
CCUUGUCGACGAAUGGUUUUCCUGUCUGAUUUGGCUUGGUUGAAGCUUCUCCCAAAGUGCUAUUUGAGACAUUAUAAACUUUUGUUUUGUCGAGAUCUUCCUGAUAUUCUCUCAUUGUAGCAGGAGCAAUAUGUCACGGGCUUAGCGUUUUUGUUCGCAAAGCCCAUGCGGCGUCCGCCUUCCUGUUCGAAGAUAUACAAGCCUUCGUCCAUAUUGCUAGUCCGAAUCUUCGCGUCCUACGACUAAGUAUGUAAAAGAAAUGACAAAGAGAGAAAGGCAGAGGUUCAUUCAAAAAACUAAGUAUUCCACUACUUAAAAAAGGAGAUUACAGCAUGUAAACACACUCUCUCUUGUGUGUCUUGACCUUAGCCAAACCCUACUAUUUAUAGGCCUAUGGAUAGAAUAAAUCUAGCCACUCAACACACUCACUAUCUCACUCAUAAUGAGCCUUCAUAAUAGCCAAAAGCACAUGAGUCACCUUAUUAACUCUUGGUAGUUUUAUAACCUUUGAGUUUCCAUCAUUGAUGGAAAAAGUUACAAAACUCUUCAUCUCUCCACAGUGGGUUGGGUUUUCUGGGCGUUGA